AGUGAACGCUGGCGGUAGGCCUAACACAUGCAAGUCGAACGGCAGCACAGUAAGAGCUUGCUCUUACGGGUGGCGAGUGGCGGACGGGUGAGGAAUACAUCGGAAUCUACUUUUUCGUGGGGGAUAACGUAGGGAAACUUACGCUAAUACCGCAUACGACCUACGGGUGAAAGCAGGGGAUCUUCGGACCUUGCGCGAUUGAAUGAGCCGAUGUCGGAUUAGCUAGCUGGCGGGGUAAAGGCCCACCAAGGCGACGAUCCGUAGCUGGUCUGAGAGGAUGAUCAGCCACACUGGAACUGAGACACGGUCCAGACUCCUACGGGAGGCAGCAGUGGGGAAUAUUGGACAAUGGGCGCAAGCCUGAUCCAGCCAUACUGCGUGGGUGAAGAAGGCCUUCGGGUUGUAAAGCCCUUUUGUUGGGAAAGAAAAGCAGCAGGUUAAUACCCCGCUGUUCUGACGGUACCCAAAGAAUAAGCACCGGCUAACUUCGUG
RNAcentral lists this ribosomal RNA (492 nucleotides) under uncultured bacterium. Its description in RNAcentral is "partial 16S ribosomal RNA". It matches the Rfam family "Bacterial small subunit ribosomal RNA", at positions 29 to 507 of the family's 1533-position model. The record is from RNAcentral.